AUGUACGAGAGCCACGCGUCCACUCACAACCGCCCACUUCCCUUAUCCUCUCUCACGGGUGCUGCUGGCCACACAAUCAAUCCACAUCCAUCUUUUUCUUCCACCUCCUGUGACGCCGCUGCUCCCACCGCUCCACCUCUUAUUACUCGGCUGUCAUUUGGUGUGCCACCGCCGCGAGCGUUGCCGUGGAGCCGAAGCGGCCACCAGCAGAUCAGCAGCCGUGCCUGCUACUUCGGAGGUCCUCACUUUUUUGCUGCAAUCGGUUUGUGGGAAGCUGCAACCGGCCGUCUAGGAGCUGCAACCGGCGACGGCCACCUGCGGGAUGCGGUGGCGCUGGAAACGGUGACAUCAGGGAUGUUGGAACCCGUGGUGUUUUUUGCUGCUACCAGCUGUAAUUUUUGCUCGAACUGGUGUGUUCUUUUUCCUUGGAUCGGUGUCGGCGGUGAUUUUCUGCUGGAACCAAGUUCUAUUUUUGCUGGAACCAGUGAUAUGUUUUCUGCUAUGGGAGGAAUUUUUUGCUGGAACUGGUGUUUCCUUUGCUCGAAUUGGUGCCAGCGGUGA
RNAcentral lists this ribosomal RNA (561 nucleotides) under Triticum aestivum (bread wheat). Its description in RNAcentral is "partial small subunit ribosomal RNA". Lineage: Eukaryota; Viridiplantae; Streptophyta; Magnoliopsida; Poales; Poaceae. The record is from RNAcentral.